Macaca mulatta (Rhesus monkey) is the source of this 148-nucleotide unclassified non-coding RNA. It matches the Rfam family "Metazoan signal recognition particle RNA". Rfam says of the family: The signal recognition particle (SRP) is a universally conserved ribonucleoprotein. It is involved in the co-translational targeting of proteins to membranes. The eukaryotic SRP consists of a 300-nucleotide 7S RNA and six proteins: SRPs 72, 68, 54, 19, 14, and 9. The record is from Ensembl. Lineage: Eukaryota; Metazoa; Chordata; Mammalia; Primates; Cercopithecidae.
GCUGGGCAUGGUGGUGCACACCUGUGGUCCCAGCUGCUUGGGAGGCUGAGACAGGAUGAUCGUUUGAGCCCAGGAGGUCAGGGCUGUAGUGAGCUAUGAUGGAGCCACUGCACUCCAGCCUUGGCAACAGAGCAAAACCCUGUCUCAA